RNAcentral lists this ribosomal RNA (431 nucleotides) under uncultured bacterium. RNAcentral's name for it is "partial 16S ribosomal RNA". It matches the Rfam family "Bacterial small subunit ribosomal RNA", at positions 29 to 507 of the family's 1533-position model. The record is from RNAcentral.
AACGAACGCUGGCGGCAGGCUUAACACAUGCAAGUCGAGCGCCCCGCAAGGGGAGCGGCAGACGGGUGAGUAACGCGUGGGAACGUACCUUUUGGUUCGGAACAACUCCGGGAAACUGGAGCUAAUACCGGAUAAGCCCUAACGGGGAAAGAUUUAUCGCCGAAAGAUCGGCCCGCGUCUGAUUAGCUAGUUGGUGAGGUAACGGCUCACCAAGGCGACGAUCAGUAGCUGGUCUGAGAGGAUGAUCAGCCACACUGGGACUGAGACACGGCCCAGACUCCUACGGGAGGCAGCAGUGGGGAAUAUUGGACAAUGGGCGCAAGCCUGAUCCAGCCAUGCCGCGUGAGUGAUGAAGGCCUUAGGGCUGUAAAGCUCUUUUGUCCGGGAAGAUAAUGACUGUACCGGAAGAAUAAGCCCCGGCUAACUUCGUG